UACAUCGGUGACAGGUGGUGCAUGGUUGUCGUCAGCUCGUGUCGUGAGAUGUUGGUUAAGUCCCGCAACGAGCGCAACCCCUAUUGUUAGUUGCCAUCAUUCAGUUGGGCACUCUAGCGAGACUGCCGGUAAUAAACCGGAGGAAGGUGGGGAUGACGUCAAAUCAUCAUGCCCCUUAUGACCUGGGCUACACACGUGCUACAAUGGUUGGUACAACGAGUUGCGAGUCGGUGACGGCGAGCUAAUCUCUUAAAGCCAAUCUCAAUUCGGAUUGUAGGCUGCAACUCGCCUACAUGAAGUCGGAAUCGCUAGUAAUCGCGGAUCAGCACGCCGCGGUGAAUACGUUCCCGGGCCUU
RNAcentral lists this ribosomal RNA (356 nucleotides) under uncultured Streptococcus sp. RNAcentral describes it as "bacterial SSU rRNA". It matches the Rfam family "Bacterial small subunit ribosomal RNA", at positions 1024 to 1382 of the family's 1533-position model. Lineage: Bacteria; Bacillati; Bacillota; Bacilli; Lactobacillales; Streptococcaceae. The record is from RNAcentral.